GAGGCGGUAUCGCAUUUUCCCGCGAAUCGCACUCGGGACUUAUGGAUUUGAAUUUCAUCUUGCACGGAACGUUCAUCCGGGUUGGCGCAUUCUGCUCAGAGCCGUGAGGGGACCGAGACAGAAGG
This is a regulatory RNA element of Thermobacillus composti KWC4, 125 nucleotides long. It matches the Rfam family "pan motif". The record is from Rfam. Lineage: Bacteria; Bacillati; Bacillota; Bacilli; Caryophanales; Paenibacillaceae.